UUACUAGUAAGUUAAAUAUUAAACUUGCAAAUUGUGGUUUUGUUAAUUACUUUUAGUACUAGUAAA
RNAcentral lists this transfer RNA (66 nucleotides) under Cladotaenia vulturi. Its description in RNAcentral is "tRNA-His". The record is from RNAcentral. Lineage: Eukaryota; Metazoa; Platyhelminthes; Cestoda; Cyclophyllidea; Paruterinidae.